CCUUACCUACGUUUGACAUACUUGGCAAAUCCAUAGAGAUAUGGAGGAGGUUAACCAAUGUACAGGUGGUGCAUGGUUGUCGUCAGCUCGUGUCGUGAGAUGUUCGGUUAAGUCCGGUAACGAGCGCAACCCCUUUCUUAUGUUACUAACAAUUAAAGUUGAGGACUCAUGAGAUACUGCCUGGGUAACCAGGAGGAAGGUGGGGAUGACGUCAAAUCAUCAUGCCCCUUAUACGUAGGGCUACACACGUGCUACAAUGGCUAUUACAAAGGGUUGCCAAACCGCAAGGUGGAGCUAAUCCCAAAAAGAUAGUCUCAGUUCGGAUUGAAGUCUGCAAUUUGACUUUAUGAAGCUGGAAUCACUAGUAAUCGCAGGUCAGCAAUACUGCGGUGAAUGCGUUCUCGGGUCUG
RNAcentral lists this ribosomal RNA (410 nucleotides) under uncultured Candidatus Hepatoplasma sp. RNAcentral describes it as "bacterial SSU rRNA". It matches the Rfam family "Bacterial small subunit ribosomal RNA", at positions 969 to 1381 of the family's 1533-position model. Lineage: Bacteria; Bacillati; Mycoplasmatota; Mollicutes; Mycoplasmatales; Hepatoplasmataceae (SeqCode). The record is from RNAcentral.